AGAUAUGUGAUGAGUCUCCUUUGGCUUCUAAUGAGUCUUAUUUUGAUUCUCAGUCUGUUCUUCCUUCGUCUGAUAGUGAUCUUGAUAUUCCUAUUCUUCUCCGAAAAGGUGUGAGGACCUAUACUAAAUAUCCCAUUUCUAAUUUCAUGUCUUAUAAUUCUCUGUCUCCAUCCGACAGAGCCUUUCUAUUGUCUAUUUGCUAUCUUUAUCCCAUCGAAUUGGAAGAAAGUUUGUCUUGAUCUAAAAUGGAGGGCAGCUAUGGUGGAGGAGAUGAAAGCUUUGGCAAAGAAUGAGACAUGGGAAUUGGUUACUCUUCCACUGGAAAAGA
This 328-nucleotide unclassified non-coding RNA is filed under the name Hevea brasiliensis (rubber tree). The record is from RNAcentral. Lineage: Eukaryota; Viridiplantae; Streptophyta; Magnoliopsida; Malpighiales; Euphorbiaceae.